This 490-nucleotide ribosomal RNA is filed under the name uncultured bacterium. Its description in RNAcentral is "partial 16S ribosomal RNA". It matches the Rfam family "Bacterial small subunit ribosomal RNA", at positions 28 to 507 of the family's 1533-position model. The record is from RNAcentral.
GAUGAACGCUAGCUACAGGCUUAACACAUGCAAGUCGCGGGGCAGCAUGGGGGUUGCUUGCAAUCCCCGAUGGCGACCGGCGCACGGGUGAGUAACGCGUAUCCAACCUGCCCUUCACCACGGGAUAACCCGGCGAAAGUCGGACUAAUACCGUAUGUUGUCCAUUGACGGCAUCCGAUUUGGACGAAAGGUUUGGCGGUGAAGGAUGGGGAUGCGUCCGAUUAGCUGGACGGCGGGGUGACGGCCCACCGUGGCGACGAUCGGUAGGGGUUCUGAGAGGAAGGUCCCCCACACUGGAGCUGAGACACAGUCCAGACUCCUACGGGAGGCAGCAGUGAGGACUAUUGGUCAAUGAGCGUAAGCCUGAACCAGCCAAGUAGCGUGCAGGAUGACGGCCCUAUGGGUUGUAAACUGCUUUUAUGCGGGGAUAAAGUGGCCCACGUGUGGGUUUUUGCAGGUACCGCAUGAAUAAGGACCGGCUAAUUCCGUG